This 323-nucleotide ribosomal RNA is filed under the name uncultured eukaryote. RNAcentral's name for it is "partial 18S ribosomal RNA". It matches the Rfam family "Eukaryotic small subunit ribosomal RNA", at positions 1470 to 1796 of the family's 1831-position model. The record is from RNAcentral.
CCCUUAGAUGUUCUGGGCCGCACGCGCGCUACACUGACACGUUCAACAAGUUCCUUGGCCGAAAGGUCCGGGUAAUCUUUAAAACCGUGUCGUGAUGGGGAUAGAACAUUGCAAUUAUUGUUCUUCAACGAGGAAUGCCUAGUAAGCGUGAUUCAUCAAAUCGCGUUGAUUACGUCCCUGCCCUUUGUACACACCGCCCGUCGCUCCUACCGAUUGAGUGUGUUGGUGAGGAGUUCGGAUUGGCAGCAGGUGGUGGUUCGCCACCGCCUAUUGCUGAGAAGUUCUCCAAACCGCCCCACUUAGAGGAAGGAGAANUCGUAACA